This 254-nucleotide ribosomal RNA is filed under the name uncultured bacterium. RNAcentral's name for it is "partial 16S ribosomal RNA". It matches the Rfam family "Bacterial small subunit ribosomal RNA", at positions 524 to 776 of the family's 1533-position model. The record is from RNAcentral.
GACGUAGGGCGCGAGCGUUGUCCGGAUUUAUUGGGCGUAAAGGGCGCGUAGGCGGUCAGCACAAGUCAGUUGUGAAAUCUCCGGGCUUAACUCGGAAAGGUCAACUGAUACUGUGCGACUAGAGUGCGGAAGGGGCAACUGGAAUUCUCGGUGUAGCGGUGAAAUGCGUAGAUAUCGAGAGGAACACCUGCGGCGAAGGCGGGUUGCUGGGCCGACACUGACGCUAAUGCGCGAAAGCCAGGGGAGCGAACGGG